AGUGAACGCUGGCGGUAGGCCUAACACAUGCAAGUCGAACGGCAGCACAGUAAGAGCUUGCUCUUACGGGUGGCGAGUGGCGGGCGGGUGAGGAAUACAUCGGAAUCUACUUUUUCGUGGGGGAUAACGUAGGGAAACUUACGCUAAUACCGCAUACGACCUACGGGUGAAAGCAGGGGAUCUUCGGACCUUGCGCGAUUGAAUGAGCCGAUGUCGGAUUAGCUAGUUGGCGGGGUAAAGGCCCACCCAGGCGACGAUCCGUAGCUGGUCUGAGAGGAUGAUCAGCCACACUGGAACUGAGACACGGUCCAGACUCCUACGGGAGGCACCAGUGUGGAAUAUUGGACAAUGGGCGCAAGCCUGAUCCAGCCAUACCGCGUGGGUGAAGAAGGCCUUCGGGUUGUAAAGCCCUUUUGUUGGGAAAGAACAGCAGCAGGUUAAUACCCCGCUGUUCUGACGGUACCCAAAGAAUAAGCACCGGCUAACUUCGUG
RNAcentral lists this ribosomal RNA (492 nucleotides) under uncultured bacterium. RNAcentral's name for it is "partial 16S ribosomal RNA". It matches the Rfam family "Bacterial small subunit ribosomal RNA", at positions 29 to 507 of the family's 1533-position model. The record is from RNAcentral.